CUAGGGCAGGAAGGAAAGUCUGGGCUGAUAAGGCCUUGGGAGCAUUGUCCAAAAGAAAGGGGAGGCCGCACUCCUGAUCCCAAAUCUUUCCUCGCUCGAGUUCCACUGUGAAGAGGAAAAGAUCGAUUUCUGAAACCAGACUUGCCUCCAAAUCCCAACUUCUUUCACGACUGGCAGGAUAAUUCGGGCUUGAUUAACCCACUGGAGCUUGUUUUCUAACCUGCAAAUUGAAGGGAAGGACACAGGUCAGCUUAAGAGCCGGGACGAGUGCUGGACCGAAGCGUGGCGACAUUUCCCGGUCUGCCACACCUCGAGCGAGUCACACUAUGGAAAGCGUUGGCCCCAAGAGCACGCUCUGCCCCUAGCCCUUGGCUUCAAGCACGGGACGCCGGGCCUGAGCACCCCAGGGCAAGCAGCGGCGCGCCGUGAACCACUCCGCCGCGCUGCGGCCUCGGGUCACCCGGCGCGGCUCCUUCCGGUGCACGGCCGGCGGGUCCAGCUCUCGCCGGGGUCACGGGUCCCGGCGCGGGGACGACCCGACCGGAUUUCUGUGGGGCCCUCGUGCGCAUCACGGCCCCUUGUCCGCCCAAAACGCGCUGGCGCCGCGCACGCGCGGCCCCGCGUAGUUUCGAGGACACCGUAUUGCCCGGUUCUCGGUGGAGCCCCGCGUGCGACCCCUGGGGGCCUAGCGGGGAAGGCGCAGAAGAGGCGCGCCGCCGCGCGCACCACGUGACCAAGUGAAACUGUAGUACCAGGAGAUGGAGUAAGAGGAGCUGGGGCCUAGUCGGACUUUUUCUUUGUCGUGCUUUUUAUGUCUGGCCCCAGGCUUCAAUCUUCCGUCCAGCCUCUACUUCCCCUUGCACUAUCCCGAGUCCUAUGGUACCUUACACGUCAAGAAACGGCCUUGCCAAAGUUGACCCACUUCAGGUCCAAAACAGAACAGGAACCGAGUGCUGUAACAGACAAGGUGGCUCUAACAGGAACGCGCAACAAGACUCAUUCUUCAUGCUGCCUCUGAAUCUUAAAAUAAAGAAUGCCCACUCCUUACUGAACUUCUACGGUGUGCCAGGAGCUUCACCAAUAUCCCAUUUUCGUUUCCUGACAGCCCUGCCUUGGGAGUAUCAUUGUCACCAUUUUACAGGAGUCACUGAGAGGCAAAGCAACCUGGGCAUGAUCACAUACCCAGUAAGUGGCUGCGGCAAGGCCUGCUAAGACCUUUAGAGGCGCAGGCUCUGAAAAGAUCGGGACCCUGUCCCCGCAUACUGAAUGCAAAAACCACAGGCCUAAUUUGUAAGAUGGGAAGAAAAGUUCAAUAAAUUUCAGAUUUCCUGCAA
Long non-coding RNA from Suricata suricatta (meerkat), 1334 nucleotides. RefSeq lists it as uncharacterized. The transcript is spliced from 2 exons. The record is from RefSeq and is a predicted model, not a curated record. Lineage: Eukaryota; Metazoa; Chordata; Mammalia; Carnivora; Herpestidae.